Molecule: transfer RNA, 69 nt
Filed under: Ictidomys tridecemlineatus (thirteen-lined ground squirrel)
Lineage: Eukaryota; Metazoa; Chordata; Mammalia; Rodentia; Sciuridae
Description: Spermophilus tridecemlineatus (thirteen-lined ground squirrel) tRNA
Rfam family: tRNA
About the family: Transfer RNA (tRNA) molecules are approximately 80 nucleotides in length. Their secondary structure includes four short double-helical elements and three loops (D, anti-codon, and T loops).
Source: Rfam by way of RNAcentral
GGAGUCGUGGCUCAGUGGUAGAGUGCUCACCUAGCGUGUGAGAGACCCUGGGUUCUAUCCUCAGCACCA